CCGUACACGAUGAGUGCUAGCUGUUGGGUGGUUUACCAUUCGGUGGCGCAACUAACACAAUAGACUCUCCGGGGGGGGAGGGGGGGCGCGAGAUUAAAACUCAAAAGUAUUGGCGGGGGCCCGCACCAGCGGAGGAGCAUGUUUUUUUUUUCGAUACCCCGCGAAAAAUCUUACCCCCUCUUGAUAUGUAUAAGAAGAUAUCAGAUAUGGUAUUUUCUUUUCAGACACCUUUACA
This 235-nucleotide ribosomal RNA is filed under the name uncultured Candidatus Liberibacter sp. RNAcentral describes it as "partial 16S ribosomal RNA". It matches the Rfam family "Bacterial small subunit ribosomal RNA", at positions 800 to 1034 of the family's 1533-position model. Lineage: Bacteria; Pseudomonadati; Pseudomonadota; Alphaproteobacteria; Hyphomicrobiales; Rhizobiaceae. The record is from RNAcentral.